RNAcentral lists this long non-coding RNA (1251 nucleotides) under Struthio camelus australis. Its description in RNAcentral is "lncRNA (ENSSCUG00000011736.1)". Lineage: Eukaryota; Metazoa; Chordata; Aves; Struthioniformes; Struthionidae. The record is from RNAcentral.
AGGGGUCAGACCUACAGAGGUGCUUAAGUGCCCAGUUCCUGUUUAGGCUCCAUGUUCUCAAGGGCUAGGAGCCUAAAAAACUUUGUUAAUUGUGGUGUAGGUGUUUAAGAGGGGACUGACAGCCCCCUGUAGCAGGGAAGUGCACCCAGCUCUGGAGUAGGAUGUGGCAGCUUUUUAAGAGCAGGCAGCAGAACGUUAUGGUAAAAGACACCCCAACUAUUUGAGCGGGGAGAUACUAGGUAUGGAGACUAUACAUAAUGGCACUAGAAUUGCAAUUUGCAGGAACUGGAUAGCAUAGAUUAUUUUUAGUCUAGCAAGAACUGUCAAGGAAAAUUGGGUUGAUCAUAUCUAUUUUGUGCUCAUAUUCUGACCAGCUGCAUCCCUAGUCUCUCCUGUAGGCUUUCCUUGGUACCAGAAGGUCUUCAGUUCAUUACAUAUCUUUGGUUUAUGACUCUGGGUAUGACAGUGUGCUUCAGCUUCUCUUGCUCACAGUCUCUUUCCAUCAGCAUACACGAACCUUCCUUCUGUUCAACCCACUGUUUCAAGUUGAUUCAAGUUUCUUCUGUGCUGAAGGCUAUCAACAGUUUCAUAGGCCACCUCUGUUUCUGAUGCUGCCAAUCUGACAGCUGCGAAUCUCCCAAGGAGGAAGAGGUGGCAGUAUCAGAACACGUGUCUGUUUAGCCUUGUACUGAAAUUAGCUAGAAUAGCCAGAUUUUAGAACUGAAAGCAGAAGUUGCUAGAAGAGUCAAAGCCUUUAGUCCUCAUCUUAAUGAGCUCAUGAAUUAAGGGCGUUUUUAAAGGUGUGCUCUUCUUCCUGUUGAAGAGAAUGCCUGAGACCCCAUGAAAAACAGAGCUCUUCGGACCCACGUGUUACGGAGCGUGGGGCAGAGUGUGGUUUGACUUGCAUGCAAUUAACAAACGGUGAACAUGUGGUGAAGAUCAUGCUUGGAAAUGUGUGCUCAGCACCAGAGACUGCAGUUCCCGAUACUACAGCAGGGCAUUACAGACACUAAUGUUUGCUUGUUUGUGGAGCGAUUAGAAAUUGGUUCUGUGGAAUCCUGGCAGCGAUCAGCAGGAUGCGCGUCCGCACGUGCGUGCGCUAAGCCAGACCUUAGAAGUGUAAUCAAUCACGAUGACAUCCUACUUCCUAUUUCAUCUUUUCGCCUGUUUGAAGUUCAUUGUACCGUAUCCCAGUGUAUUCCCAAGGAAGAACGACCAGUCAUUCGCAUUUUCCUCUGGACACUGCCCUGA